RNAcentral lists this ribosomal RNA (474 nucleotides) under uncultured bacterium. RNAcentral's name for it is "bacterial SSU rRNA". It matches the Rfam family "Bacterial small subunit ribosomal RNA", at positions 29 to 532 of the family's 1533-position model. The record is from RNAcentral.
AAUGAACGUUGGCGGCGUGGAUUAGGCAUGCAAGUCGCGCGACAAGGAACCUUCGGGUUCUGGAGGAGCGGCAAACGGGUGAGUAAUGUAUCGGAAUCUGCCCAGUAGCGGGGGACAACUCGGGGAAACUCGAGCUAAUACCGCAUACGCCCUACGGGGGAAAGGCUUCGGCCACUAUUGGAUGAGCCCGCGUCGGAUUAGCUUGUUGGUGGGGUAAUGGCCUACCAAGGCGACGAUCCGUAGCUGGUCUGAGAGGAUGAUCAGCCACACUGGGACUGAGACACGGCCCAGACUCCUACGGGAGGCAGCAGUGGGGAAUCUUGCGCAAUGGGCGAAAGCCUGACGCAGCAACGCCGCGUGCGGGAUGACGGCCUUCGUGGUUGUAAACCGCUUUCAGCAGGGACGAAAAUGACGGUACCUGCAGAAGAAGCCCCGGCUAACUACGUGCCAGGAGCCGCGGUAAUGUGACUACUG